UGGUACAAUACUUUCGUCAGAUCCGUCUUGGUGGAAACCCGAUGCAGGUGCUAUUAGUGAAAGGAUUGGAGACUGGUUCUAGCAGUGGUUGGUUUGUUUGAGGAAUUCCUGGUGCUCGUGAUUAGUAAAGGGUUUCAGCCAGGAAAUUAGAUAUUUUGAGAAGCUUCUACAAGAUCUUGAUAUCAUUUGUGUUCUAUCCCUUGAUCCUGUGCUUGAGAAGGUGCUUCCCUAAAUUGCACAACUCCGAAAACUUGUACGUGAUUUGAUUUUCUUCUGGUGGUCACACUUACAUCCUUCAAGGAUCAUCCUUAUCAGUUAUUACAGUAAAUUUGUCGAUUUAGCGUUGUAAUUGCUAUUUGCACUAUUAGGAGUAUCUCCUGGAAAAAAAAUCUUCUAUAGACAAACGUGACUAAUGUAUGUGUGUUGUGUUAGAUAUAGAUUUGGUUAUGAGUUACUGCUUUUUGUGGUCAUGGGGAAAUUAAUCAUUCCAGGAUCUCAACAUUGUAGUAUUUUGCACAAAUUUGUGAAGUUCAACGCCUUAGUGUCAUGGCUCG
Molecule: non-coding RNA, 554 nt
Organism: Triticum urartu
Lineage: Eukaryota; Viridiplantae; Streptophyta; Magnoliopsida; Poales; Poaceae
Source: RefSeq, a predicted model, not a curated record